GUCCUAGCCCUAAACGAUGCUCAUUAGGUGUGGUAGGUAUCGACCCCUUCCGCGCCGAAGCUAACGCAUUAAAUGAGCCGCCUGGGGAGUACGGCCGCAAGGUUGAAACUCAAAGGAAUUGACGGGGCCCGCACAAGCGGUGGAGCAUGUGGUUUAAUUCGACGCAACGCGAAGAACCUUACCUGGGCUUGAACUACUGGUAGUAAGCCGUUGGAAACAUCGGCUGAUCCGCAAGGAGCCAGCAGAGGUGCUGCAUGGUUGUCGU
RNAcentral lists this ribosomal RNA (265 nucleotides) under uncultured bacterium. Its description in RNAcentral is "partial 16S ribosomal RNA". It matches the Rfam family "Bacterial small subunit ribosomal RNA", at positions 793 to 1055 of the family's 1533-position model. The record is from RNAcentral.